Molecule: RNA transcript, 8477 nt
Organism: Artibeus jamaicensis (Jamaican fruit-eating bat)
Lineage: Eukaryota; Metazoa; Chordata; Mammalia; Chiroptera; Phyllostomidae
Gene: PDE7A
Gene name: phosphodiesterase 7A
Exons: 18
Source: RefSeq, a predicted model, not a curated record
GCCUUGAGUGGGGAGCAUAUUGGGGAGACAGCUGGAGUAGGUGCGGAUUGAGGUUAGUAGGGAAGGAGGGCGGUAUGUGCCGCGAGGGAAGGUGACACAGCUCCAAACUGCAGAACAGAAGGAGGACGGUUCCCAACCUCCGCCGCUAACCCGUCUCCACUGGCGCUGCGGCGGCUCGGGGCGCGGGGCUUGCGCCGCGGCGUCGUGACGUCACGGAGGUGGCGGCCGUGGUUGGCGCAGGGUCCGCGGCUGCAAAGUGUGAAUUACGCUGGGCUCGCGCCACUGGAGGAGUGAAGCCAGGCUCCAGGGGAGGGGAGGGGCAGAACGGCGGCGGCGGCGACCUGAGCUGGUGCUGCUCUUGAUCCUGGCGCACCCUGGAUCUUGACGCUGGUUCCAGCUCUCUUUUCUUGCAGCGCUCCCGCUCUACUCCUCCCCGCAUUAGAGCCCUGGGGCGGUGGGGUUACCUUUCCGACUUUGCCGGUGCUACCCCCGCGGGCACCCCGGAUCCGGGCGUUCGCGGGUCCUGUUAACUGUCGCUGCGACCGCCUAAGCGCACUCCCGCCGGCUGUCCGGGCGCUGUGCUCUGGUGGCGGAGGCGUGAGUGCGGCUUCCUGGCCCGGAGUCGGUACCCUCCAGCCCUGCCCCCGCCUCGGCCCGGUGCCCCGCAGCCGCGGCCCCUUCCCAGCGCAGGGGCCGGCGGCCGGGGCAGGGCGGACGUAUUCAAUGGAAGUAUGUUACCAACUGCCGGUGCUGCCCCUGGACAGGCCGGUCCCCCAGCACGUCCUCAGCCGCCGAGGAGCCAUCAGCUUCAGCUCCAGCUCCGCGCUCUUCGGCUGCCCCAAUCCCCGGCAGCUUUCACAGAGACGUGGAGCUAUUUCCUAUGACAGUUCUGAUCAGACUGCAUUGUAUAUUCGUAUGCUAGGAGAUGUACGUGUAAGGAGUCGAGCAGGAUUUGAAUCAGAAAGAAGAGGUUCUCAUCCAUAUAUUGAUUUUCGUAUUUUUCACACUCCAUCAGAAGUUGAAGUUUCUGUGUCUGCUCGGAACAUCAGAAGGUUGCUCAGUUUCCAGCGGUAUCUUAGAUCAUCACGCUUUUUCCGUGGUACUGCUGUUUCAAAUUCUCUAAACAUUUUAGAUGAUGAUUAUAAUGGACAAGCCAAGUGUAUGCUGGGAAAAGUUGGAAAUUGGAAUUUUGAUAUCUUUCUAUUUGAUAGACUAACAAAUGGAAAUAGUCUAGUAAGUUUAACCUUUCAUUUAUUUAAUCUUCAUGGAUUAAUUGAGUACUUCCAUUUAGAUAUGAUGAAACUUCGUAGAUUUUUAGUGAUGAUUCAGGAAGACUACCACAGUCAGAACCCGUACCACAACGCCGUGCACGCUGCGGACGUCACUCAGGCCAUGCACUGUUACCUAAGAGAACCUAAGCUUGCCAACUCUGUGACUCCUUGGGAUGUCUUGCUGAGCUUAAUUGCAGCUGCAACUCAUGAUCUGGAUCAUCCCGGUGUUAAUCAACCUUUCCUUAUUAAAACUAACCAUUACCUGGCAACUUUAUACAAGAAUACCUCAGUACUGGAAAAUCACCACUGGAGAUCUGCAGUGGGAUUAUUGAGAGAGUCUGGUUUAUUCUCACAUAUGUCAUUAGAAAGCAGGAAACAAAUGGAGACUCAGAUAGGUGCUUUGAUACUAGCCACAGACAUCAGUCGCCAAAACGAGUAUCUGUCAUUGUUUAGGUCCCAUUUGGAUAGAGGUGACUUAUGCCUGGAAGAUGCCAGACAUAGGCAUUUGGUUUUACAGAUGGCUUUAAAAUGUGCUGAUAUUUGUAACCCGUGUCGGACCUGGGAACUGAGCAAGCAGUGGAGUGAGAAAGUAACAGAGGAAUUCUUCCAUCAAGGAGAUAUAGAGAAGAAGUAUCAGCUGGGUGUGAGUCCAUUUUGUGAUCGUCAGACUGAGUCUGUCGCCAACAUCCAGAUCGGUUUCAUGACUUACCUAGUGGAGCCUUUGUUCACCGAAUGGGCCAGGUUUUCCGACAGCAGGCUGUCGCAGACGAUGCUGGGCCACGUGGGGCUGAAUAAAGCCAGCUGGAAGGGGCUGCAGAGAGAGCAGUCCAGCGGCGAGGACACGGAAGCUGCGUUCGAGGAGUUGAACUCACAGUUAUUACCUCAGGAAAACCGGUUGUCCUGACCGCAGUCAGUGCGGCAGCCUGCCUCCGGAGGCUCUCGGAAAUGUGAAAUGGGGGCUUGAGGUGAGAGAACUUACUCCCGACCGCCAAGGUUUCCGAGUGAAUGACGCCAGCAUUAUUUAUGUCCAGGAUCUCCUGUUGGAUCAUUUGAACCCACUUUUUAAUCAUAAGACCUGAACAUACAGCAAUAUGGAUUUGGCUCUCACGUGAAACCUUGCGUCUGCAAAGCCCGGCAGGAGUGAAUCUGGAAGGAAUAACAAAGGAAGUUGUGAGGAGUGCCACGUGCUUCUCGAAGCAUAUAUUCUUCGAACCAUGAAACUUGAACUGAAUCUUUCAGCAGAAAUCUCUUGGAAUUUAACCAGUCCGAUGCCACAUUGUGUAUCUGCACCUUCCACUAAGUUCUCGCUGACAGAUGGGGAAUGUGAAGUGCCCAGCCUCUGCUGCCUCCGGCAAGACUCGAUGUUUACAAACCAACUCUGAGAUACUGCUUCUGAAUUUGCCUUGGAGCACAAUAGUGAAGGAACCACUAAGAAUUUUGUAGAUCAAACUUUCAACUGCAGCUCCUUCCCCCCCAGUUUGCCUUUUUUCUUCUUUGGAUGCCACCAAAGCCUCCCCUUUGCUAUAGUUUGAUUUUGUGCACUGGAAACUGUGCAUUAUCCCAGAAUACCGCCAAGCUUUCCCUCCAGUGCUGUUUGGCAGUGCGAUUUUUUUAAACUCUUGGUUUUUAAUUUGGGGCGGGAGGGGAAGAACACCAAUGUCCUAGCUGUAUUAUGAUUCUGCAGUGAAGACAUUGCAUGUUGUUUUCACUACUGUACACUUGACCUGCACAUGCAAGAAAAGGUGGAAUGUUUAAAACACCAUAAUCAGCUCAGGGUAUUUGCCAAUCUGAAAUAAAGUGGGAUGGGGAAGUGUGUCCUUCAGAGCAAGGGUCCUAAAGUCCCUUUCGCUGCAGUGAGUGAGAGGCAGAUCUUGGCAGAUCUUCAGCUGGUUACUUGGUGAGCAUGGAGUCUGAGCAAGGGAAGCAAGUUGCCUCAUGCGUCCAUUUCCCCGUGGGCCAUACCUGCUGAUAUUCAUGUUUAUGGAGCAGGGCUCCCUCUGCCCAUGGACGAUGCUAGAGGGUCUCUGCCGGUAGCUGCUUCUCCACGUCAGCUUCUGAGUGGCACUUCCAGUAGAUAUGUCAGUACCUUCAUCCUUGUCUUGACUGAACUGGCCUGGGCUCCAUCUGCCUCGGUCUGGUUGAUUGCUUCUGCUCUGAUCUACUAUUUCUUAUUGAUAGUCAAAGGAUUGUCUUAUUUCCAUUCUCAGGGGGGAGACUCCUCAGGUUGCUCCCAUUUCCUGCCUAACACAUAGAACACACCCAUUGAACUGUUUUGUUUUGUUUUUUUGUUACGUAUAUGUGGGAAUCACUGUCUAUAGCUCUGCUUUUUGACUAUAUGAGGGGGGGACCCAAAAAAAACCAGAAUUUAUAAAAAUUAUGUAUUUAUUCUUCUAUGUUUAAACCUCAGUCACCUUCAAAGUACUCUCCAUGUGAUGCAAUACACCUAUCAAGACUUUUUCCCCACUGCUCAAAACUUUUUGAACUUGUCAAUUUUGAUGCCUUUUUGUGCUUUUGCCAUUUUUUGUUUUAUUUCUUCCAUAUUGGCAAAACAUUUCCCUUUGAGGGCUUUCUUCAUCUGGGGAAACAAAGUCACUCGGGAUGAGAGUGGGUGAAUAAAGAGGGUGGGGAACUGGGGUCAAGUAGUUUUUAGUCACAAACUGAAUUUAUCACCCAUCAUGAAACAGGCUAACACUGUGAAAGUCUUCAAAAAAAAUCCAGUGAAGCUGAAUGCAUCCUCUCACAACACCACCAGCUCGUACAUUGACACAGACGGGUUCCUAGGACACUCACCGAGCAGGGGAAGCCUGUGCUACAAGGGGCCUGCCCUGCAGAGAUAAUUCCAGUUUUUGUUGGGUCCCCCACCUCAUAUUCCUUGAACUUUAAUUUUCUAGAAAUAAUUGAGGAAACAGUGAAAUAAUUUAGAAGACCGCAUUUAAAAUAAGUAAUUAGAUAUGGAACAGAAUGCCAAAUUUUGAAGAUACAACAGGAGACUUCAAAGAAUUGUUGAGCAUGAGCAGCCCAUUGGAGCUGUAGCCCCAACUCUUCAGUCGUAGGGGGUUAUCUCCUCUGCUUGGGGGUAAAGGUCCUUGGGGAGAAAAUUUUGGCAAGCCUUAAUGAAAAAAAUCUGAUUCCUGGUCAAUAUUUGUACCUUUGUAAAUGUGAUGGUUCACAAUGACUCUAUGUAUAAAAUAAGUAAAUAUUUUAUGUCCUUUGCAAACCUGGGAAAUAUAUCUGUACCUGACAUACAGGUUUAGAGGUGCUAGUAAUUCUUUGAAGAUUCCUAUAACAGUCUUUUUCCAAAAUGUUUUCUUGGCUCUUAAAGCUUUCAGUUUUCUUAAAACUUUUACAUUAGAGGUUUACAAUGUUUUCAUGUAUAUUUUUUAAAAUGUAUAUUUUGUUUAAAUCCCCACCCAAUCAGUAUCUUCUGCUUGGGAAAAUAGAUAUGACUGACAGCCACUAUGCAUUCAGUAAUCAUUUUAAACAAAGGUGCGUAUUAAAACACCAUAGUAUAAGCAUACAUUUGAAGCAUAAGAAGAUUGUAUGGAUAUGCGUAAAAGUUAGUCUGAGCCAUUUCUUACUUGCUAAGGAUCUACAGACAACCUGUGUCUUUUGGAAGGCCCCCUAACGGUCCAUGGUGGAAUGGCCAUUCUUGGGGGCGAGCUGACUGGUGGGGUGGGGUGGGGAGGGGACACAGGUCUCCUUGUCUCAUUUUCAGCAUAGACUAGCAUAAACUGGGCCAUCAAUAUGUGGUUGUUGAACAAGUAACUUGGUGUUUUAAUUUUAUGUUUUCCUUUUUAGCUAUUUAUCAUAAGAGAAAUUAUACUGAAACUAGUCUGUUUAUGCUGAAGUUAUGUGGUAAGCAAUACCCGAGUUCCUGUUGUGUGCAGAGCACUGCGCUGGAUGUAAUAAAGGUAUUAAAAAUUUCAAGACAUGGCCUCUGUUUUCAAAAUGUUUGGGUGACCAAAUGAUGUGUGAAGUGUUAUUCAAUAUGGCAGGCUUCUGUAUUGUACACAAUGAAUGUAAGGUGUUGGGGUGUUUAGAAUGAAUGAUUUAGUUCAUUAAUUUGCUUCCAUGUUGUCAGCUGUUCCCAAUGCUUUUUAAUGCAUUUUUCAUUUACUGAAUUCUUCAGCUCGAUUUUACUGCUUUGUUUCAGUCUCUUUAGUAAAGUGCUCCUGUUCCUUAAUUUUAUCCCUGAGCCAUUGAACUGCCUAAAGUUUCUUGGAUCUCAUUUUUUCAUGAUUUUGAGUUUAUGAAUUGUUUUCCUUGUGUUACUUUGGUUGUUCAUGUGAUUGAGGUGUUGGUGCGUUUGAAGUAGUGAGCACCUUAUUUCAAGAUGACAGAGGUCUUUCAUCUGUUUUUGCGCUGUGUGGAGCACGAGCUUGUUUUCUCUUACCUGUGCUACUUGUGCCCCGGCAGUGAUGGCGUGGUGUCCCUACUGUGGUGGGGUUGCCUGGGUCUCAGGGCACUGCCGCUGUAGUGGGAGAAUAUGGCGGGUGGGGGGAGCCAGGUUUCCCCUACUCACCCUCCCCGGGCCAUGGUGUGGGCACUGUGCCCUUCCUUCCCACCAUCCUGCCUCCCCUGUGCAGUAAUGUGUGGACCUCUCAGGCUUGCUAGUGUUGAGCAGAGGAAACUUUGUUGGGUUACAGAUGUCCAAAUGGUGUAAAUUUAAGGGGAUACAAAGGGCUCUUCUCCACCAUGAUGCUAAGAUUGUAUGAGAUUCUUGAGCAUAAAUUUCAAGCGCUUAUUGUUGAGCCAUAAUCAGAAGGCUGCAUGAUAUUCCUUUAUUCUACCUGAAAUUCAUGUUAUUUAUCUGAACUUUUCAAAGGAAGUAGUAUCCUUGGCUGCCGGAAGCAGAACCUGCAGUUUGGUCAUUCUGUGAUGCAGCUCAUUACUGCAUCUGCUUACUUUACCCACACUCCUCCUUUUUAGUCGUGGGUCCUUGGGCAAGCUACCUAAUCUUUUGAGGGGCUUCCUAAACUGUAAAAUGUGUUUCUUAAAAGUAAAAUAAUGUAUUGACACACAGGCACAUGCCAAAUCAAUGCCCUAAUUCAUUUCCUCAUAAUCCGUUGAGUAUAAACUCUUCAGGGACACAGUUGUACUUCCCACCAUCCUUAGUUGAGCUCCAGGUACCAGCUGCUCCCCUUUGUUCGGGUUUCCUGUUCAAAUUCUGAGGGAAACUCUCAUGGGACCAGCUUAUCAAGGCUGUGUCCCUGGUCAAACACCAGUCUGAGCAUUACCAGGUGUUCCUUGUAGAAGGGAAGGCAGAAGUUCAGAUGCUGCUGUUUGCCUUAGAGUUGGGUUAAGAAGUAUUCAGAUAACUAACCCUGAGAUCAGUCUCUUGUACCCCCCCCACCCGUGUUGCCAACACCCACAUUUCAGAUGACAACCCAACCACAGUAGUUCUCACCCUUUGAUAAAAAGCACACCUGACCAAUGAAUAGGGACGGCCAUUAGGCAACAUCAACAGCAGGCUUUUCAUAACCUCCAGUAAAAAUCUUGUUAUGAAGAGUUUGGCCUUUCUCCCCAAAUUAAGGCUUCUCCAGCCAGGAAGAAAGCAAUUAUGAGGGACAGCCCUAUAAUAGCCAUGGUGCUUUUUUUUAUUAUUUACCUUCCCUGAGGAGGUCUGAUUUACACUUGACUCUUAUGGAAGGAGCGCUUUGUGACCUUUAGAACAGGCUGCAGAAGCUACCAGAGGAGAAGUUUAGAAAGCUCCAGCUGUAGGAACACUGAGGCAUCUGGCACAGGGGAAGUGUGCUCGACAGUCUCACAGGGAGACAUGGGUGAUUUCUGGGUCCUGAUUUGGUCAGGCUGUUUUUAUCAUCCUAUGUGUUCUCUAGUGACUUCACUAGUACCAGGGAAGAACUAGCCUGCUUACGGGUUUUAUCAGGAAAAACUAAAAAGAAUGUUAAAAAAUAGGGUUAGUGAGAUAGCUCAGAAGAAUGCUGAAUCUCUAGGAUGAGAAAGGGAAAGGACUCAAGAAUGGCUGGAAGUUCAUGAGAAAUGAACUGUGACAACAGGCAUAACUGAUACUGUCAUUAAACCAAGUGUCUCAUUCUGCCUGGACAAUCCCAGAGCUGACUUUAUCGGGUUAACGCCUCAAAGUCUAAACUUCCACCGGCCAGAUUCUCACCUAGAGAGAACAUCUAUUUUUGGUAAGUUAUCAGGAGAGAUGGUUUUUCCCAAGUAUUUGUUUUUGGUAGUUGUCCCCUAAUGUUAUCUUCUUUACCACUUACAUAUAGGAAUUCUUAAUACAGCAAAAAGAAUAAGUUCGUCUGCAGAAGAGCUUGUGACUAGGGAGACAACCAGAACUAAAGACGGCAAGUCCUACUGCUCUACCCUAAGCCUGUGCAGGUGCCAGGGACCAACCACAUAUAGGAGAAAUCCACCGACUGGAAACUACAGUGACCACAUAUGAAAUGAUACUGGAUGGCACUGAGGUGACUUCCCUUUUUAAAGGAAAGCCUUACGGAAUUUUAGCAAACCCCAUCUCCGAGGAAAUGUGAGAGAAAAAUCUAAGAUAAAAGUUCUGUUCAAGUUAUCUGCUUGUAAAUCCUGUGGCACAUCCCAUUCAAAUCUUAACAGAGGACACAGCUGAUCACUGGUAAAAUGGAAGUGCUCAGCAAAGAAGUCUGAGGCAAUACUCACCAACACUGUUUCUGAAGUAGCCUCUGAUGCAGACUUUGAAAUUCCUUUUUCAGCCUCAUCUUGGCUAUCACUUCGAUACCGGGUCACGAUUUUGGCAAUCUGAGCUCUGAGAGCAGCAAGUUCAUUUUCAAGAGCACAGAUCUUCUGCAGUGCUUCCUCAUUUGCCAGUGGUGUCUUCAGUUGAGGCUCUUCCGGAGACAGGUUUGCUUCCCUCAGUUUCAUGUGGUCAUGUUCUGGUUAACAAGAUGCCUGCAGACUGUUGUGAGACACCUAGGAAGGCUGCUUAAAGGGAAAUGACUCCAUGAAAACAUCCUCUCAUCUCCAGCUUCACAACCCUUCUUCUCCUGAGAGCAGCGAGUGCCACAUGAUGUCUGAGUUUGAGAGUUGUAGAAGGCCAGGCACUAACCUUGACAUGAAGCCAACACUAAGGACGGCAGAGCCUUGGCUGGGUCCCUGAGGACUGUGGAGUCACUGUCAGCUCCAGACUAUCUACUUUGGUUGUUUUUAAGAGAGAAAUAAACUAGAUGGAGAGAAAAAUAAACUCACAUCCUGUUAAAGUCA